This is a non-coding RNA of Benincasa hispida (wax gourd), 2096 nucleotides long. NCBI's taxonomy places the organism in Eukaryota, Viridiplantae, Streptophyta, Magnoliopsida, Cucurbitales, Cucurbitaceae. The record is from RefSeq and is a predicted model, not a curated record.
UUUCCUUUUCUUCAAGCAUCCGCGCCUCCCUCCCCCUUUAAUUUCUUUUUCCUUUACCGAGGCCCUAUCUCUAGCCACCAUCGACGCCACACCUGCACCGCGUCGCUCCCGCCGUCGACCUCGACCAGCAAUCCGAUCUCAUCGUCGUCCAGACGCCGCCGAUCCGACCCUAGCCACUCGCCGCCGAGGUUUUUCCGGGCCGACGCCCACCGUUCGGCGAGGCCCGACCGCGUGCGAACCCCCCUGACGGUCGUCGCUUCCAAACGCAUCAGUAGUCGUUCCGGCGCUUUGCAACACGCAUCGUCGUCCAGAUCUGCUAGCCGCUGGUCAUCGUCAUUGCUCUAGUCGCUACCGCGCGCUCUGUCGCCCUUUGUCGAGCGCCGCCCCCGUGGCUUCACCGAAUCUUGAAAAUAAAUCAGUUGGGCUUUGGAUUCAAGUUUUGGAGAAGUUUUGAAUUUAGAAGCGAACGACUUGAGUUUCAUUCUGACGAUAAUUUUUGGUGUUAGUACUUUAAGGUGAUCGGGAUCUCAUUCAAAAGUUGUGGAAAGCUAGAAAGGAGUUUGUUCGCUUGGAUUAAUUUUUGGACUUUAUUUGAGUUGGCUCAAGACAGAAAUCUCAUAUUCAACGUAAACUUGAAAAUUUUGAGGAAGCUCCCUGAAAGCUUGAAGAUAGAGGUACAACGACAAACAUCCACCUGACGUUUUGCAGCAAAAUCCUCUUGGAUAAUGGAGUAUUUUCCUCGAGGAAAUAGAUCAUUAAUAUAAAUAUGUAACUAUUUCACUAAGGUUAAAUUAUAAAAGAAAAUGUCCUUAAACUUUUCCACUUGUUUAAAAAUUAUUAGACGUAUUUAAAUAAUAAUACGUAUAAUUAAAAUAUAAACGAUGUAUAUAGAUUAAUAAUUUAUCAUUUUAUUAAAUUGAAUCACAUAUGUGAUCUAAUUAAUGAAGGCUUUGGAUUCUUAUGGACUUAGGUUUCCAAUUGAACUAGUAUAUAAAAAGACCUUAGGACUAUGGUCCCUUAUAUACCAAAACAAUAUAACGUAGAGAGAUCCCACUAAGGACAUUCGGUGUUUUAGUUGAGGAAGACCAUAUUCUUUCAAUGGAAUCUGAUAUGUAUAUAUACUUGACAAUUUGGUAUGAAUGAUCUUAUGGUUUAUCUUUUCAAUAUAGAUUUAAAGUAAUUAUGUUAAUAAGUGAUAUCGGAGCAAGAUUUUCACGUUAGAUUGUUGGUUUAUGUUCGUUUUCUAUAAGUAUUGUGAUACAAUUUUGAUUUUGGUUAAAGUAUUUAAAGAUGAUUUAAUUAAAGAAAGGGGAGAAAUCUCCCCGUCGCGACGCGAGCAACACAACAAAAGGAACCCUUAACGUUGGUUGCAGAUUUCAUCGGUGAUGGUUGCAGAUUUCAUCGACGAUGGUUGCCACAUCUGAAGGCUCUUGUGUAGGCAAUUGAUGAAUCUUGCUGGCUUAUCCAAUCCACUGAAUUCAAUUUUUUUAAAAAAAUUUUAUUGCGUUGAAUUUGAUAGUUUCUUAAAUAGAUUGAAUUCAGUUGUUAUUUUCUUUAAAUAGUUUGAUAGUAUUGAAUUUAUCAAUCAUUUGGAUUAAUUUCCAAUUGAGGGUCUCGCCUGCCGAUUGAAUUUCUUAUUUGAUGUUUCUAAGUUUUCUUGAUUAAUAAUUUGAUAAAAUUCUUAUCGAUGUCUCUUGGUUUUUGAUUGAUAAAUUUAUCGAUUUCAAUCUAAAGUUUGAUUGAUAAUUCAAGUUUAAGUUAGAUUAAUCAUAUUGUGAAUUUAGGUUCAAUCAUUUGUGGAUUUAAGUUUAUAUUUAAAUUUGAUUGAUAAUAUGAUAAAAUUAAAUUUAAAUUUGGUUGAUCUUUUAGUGAAUUUAAAUUUAAAUUUGAUAAAUAAUAUUUGGUGAUAUUCACAUGUUUAUGUUGCUUUAAAUGUAUUAUGUGUGUGCAUUGGGUGAAUUUUGAAACGAUAUAUCGUAUUAUUCUUCUAUUAUUUUGUACAAUAAUAUUAUUAUAUUAUUGUGUCUUAUAUUUUAGAUUGAAUUGGAUAAAUAAUAUGUUACCAAAGUAGCAUCUGUUAUCUAGAUUAAUUUAAU